UGAUGAGACAUCAAGAACCUGAGCUUCAUUAAGUCCUGAAACCAGGUGUGUGAUCUCAGUUGGAAGACUGUGGGUUUUGGCUGGGUUGGAGUCCUGGCCAUGUGGGUUUGAGUCCCAAUCUGAGGUACAUGGUGUCACCCAUGGCCCAGCCAAGUUGACACAUAAAAUUAGCCAUUACACGUAGUUAUCCAGCCUAAGAUUACAGAUCUCACUCAUCUUUUGCUCCAGCUACAAAAGAAUAUUCCCCAUACCUGCCCUGUAUUUUCCAACUUCUAUUCCUUUGCUCAUGCAGUGCCUUCCACCUCUAAUACCCUUCCCUGUCCCUCAGUUCCAUUUAUUGAAAUCCUAUAUUUCCUUCACAAGUAGCUUUAUACCACCUACUCCUGAAAGCGCUGUCACGUUCUAGCAGAAAAUCUAAGAUAAUUUCCACAACCUCUGUAUCCUUGGGUUUCCUCUUCUGUAAACUAGGGAUAAUGAUUCCUAACACAGUAAAGAUUGCAUGAGCUAAUACACAUAAGGCAGUCAGAACAGUGCCUAUCACGAGCAUUGAUGGUUUUUUAUUAUUAUUCUCUACCCGUUCCCCCAUUCCCUACUAGGAACGUGUGAAUAAUAAUAAUAAUGGUGAAUGAAAAUUUAGCAGUUAUCUUCAAGGUAAAGUGCUUUGAAAACAGACAUCUACACGUAAAAUUUACUUCUGUUCUCCCCUUUCAUUUGUAUCUCAGUGGUCUUGAACAUCCAAUGGUUAUAAGAUUUACUGUCCAGGGCUGUAAACACAAAACAACGUCUGCUCUAUUCACAAGCAUUAAAGGAUGUUGAAGGAUAAUUGUGACUAUAUGUGAUUUUUGUCUCAUGCACUGAUUCCACGUAGAAUCUAAACAGUGACUCUACUUUGUGUGUUUGGUUUUAACCACUAAAUCCUUUCUCCUGGGGUUUACUGAGGAAGCCCUGGGGGAGAGUGGUCAGCAAAAUGUUUGCCCUAGGCAUGGCUGAGAUGCUCUUAGUUUUCUCACUCUGCCUUUACUUUCACUGGUUGGUCAUAGUGCCAAUGCCUAGGGGUUUAGAGCUCUCAGAAUCGCUCUGAUUCUAACCCUUCAAGGGCUGUCUUCUGGCUGAAUUACUAGCUGUUUAGCAACUGUAUUUCAACAGCUUGUAAGCCUUUCACUAUUGUGGGGAAAUGUAAACGAGGGACUCUGAGCCCACAAGGGGCAAAUGCUUAGUCAAGUGGGUGUCACCCAGGCAUGAAGACUACAGAGAUGCAAAUGACCAACCUGAGACAAAGAGCACCUAUUUGUGCCUGGAUGUCACCUUCAGGCAGAGAGACUUCAAUGGGGAAAAUGGCCCAGAGGACCCUUGGUACAGAGUCAAAAGGAGAAGAGAGGAGCGGUUAGAUGCGUGGACUUGGCUUUAAGGAGAGCCAAGAGAGGUAGCUGGAGCGGCUGCUUCCCUCCUCAUCAGGCUUGAAUGGGGAAGAAAAGGGCCUUAAGAACCCUGGGACCUGCGAGAAGACGCUACUUCCAAGCAGUAUGAAGUUCUGGGAGCGCCAAUAAAUGGCCAUCCAUUUCUUCCAGGGUAAUCACAUCUUUUUCGCAUUUGACCCCCCAAAAUUUAGACACUUACUACCUCAGCCUGUCUAUGCUGUAUAUGAGCAAGAGGUAUGCAUUCUCCAGAUUCUGGAGAAAAUGAAGUAAUCGCCUUAACAAUGAGUCAGGAAUGACAUUCAGCCUCUCUCAGCAGUCAACAGCAAGUUCUUUCGCAAUGCCUCACUGCCUGCCACGUAUCACAGAUUUCCAGCUCCAGUCACUCCAGAUAUUUUCAUUUGUACUCCAGGACAGAAACCACCAUUUGACUUGUGAGCAUUUAGUGGAUUAUGUGCUUCAUAAUCCAUUUCCUUCCCCCUAAGCAUCUAUUUGUAAUACUAAGAGGUCUUCAAAGUAGGCGAAAUGUACGAAUAUGGUUCCUAUUUGGUGCCUGCUUAUUCACUGAACAGAAAACUUACUAUCCUCUUCCUUUCCAGCCUGGAACUGGAUGCAUUAUACUUGUCUCCAGCCUUUUCCUGAAUGGGCUCAUCUCUCACUCUAAAGAGAUGAUCAAAGAGACAAAAAUUAACACAGACCUGUGAAAAUCUAUUAUUUUAUACAAGAGAAGGAGAAAAAUGGCCCAAUAUUCUGGAAUCAAAUGUAGAUUUCUCGCCCUCUGACAUAGAUUUUUUUGUAUGAUAUCAAAAUACUCUUAGAAACUCUUCGCCUUGUGUUUUUAGUAGCUACUACUGAAAUUCUCCUACUAAACAGGAACAGGACGUACUGAAAAUACAAUCAGCCAAACAAGAAGAGACUUUGUGGAAUUUAAAGUGCAGUACCAUUCGGCAUCUAUGUUGGGCAUAGAAAAAUAAUAAAUAUGACACUGUAGAAAACUAUAUUAAUGAAAGGAUAAACUGAAGAAACUAUACUAGAGAACAGAAAAAAUAUAUAUGUAAAUGAGAGAUAAAGAAUAGCUAGUAUAGAAAACAGGUCCCAGGAUCUAUCUUAUUAAUUCUACUGAGAAAGGAAAGCUGAAGCAAUAAUAAGCGAAAAUAUUCUUGACUUUACAAACAAAAUCAACCUAACUGAGUGUAUAUUCAGUGCGUUUUAUCCAAAAUAUUAACAGGUACAAAAAUAUUGGCAAUGAAAAAAAUUUAAAACAGAAGGAAUUAUCUUAAAAAACGGAAGAGGCUAUUGACAGAAGAAAACAAAAGAAUGACCCUCCUAGGUCUUCCCAUCACAAUGAAUGCCAAAAGGUCAUGAAGAAAUGUCUACAGAGAUAUGUAGAGAGAAGGUUAUUAUCUACAAAUUCAGAAAAAAUUGUUAUCUGUGACAACAAUAGAAAGAUGUUCUCAGAAAUGCAAGAACUAUGAAAAUGUACAUUUCAUCACUCCUCCUGAAGGUUCCUGAGAAUGUCCACCAGAAAAUCAUGAGGGGAGUCCAAAGUAAGAUCUUAGGACAAGAAGGAGGAAAGAACUGGAAAUAAGUACUGAAACCAGUUACACGUGCAUACACACACACAAUUACCCUGGGUUUUUUAUUUGUGGCCACACCACACGACUUGUGGGAUCUGUUCCCUGACCAGGGACUGAAUCCAGACCAAGGCAGGGAAAGCCUGGAAUCUUAAUCACUAGGCCACCAUGGAACUCCCAGAGGAAAGGAUGAUUGUAGUUUUGUUUUGUUUUGUUUUUCCACACACACAAUUAUUAUCAAUGUGCUUAUGGGAGCUUGAAUAUAAAAAGUAAACUGAAUGGAUAAUUAUAUUUUUAAUUGUUCAGUUAAGGGACUUCCCUUGUGGUCCAGUGGUUAAGACUAUGCACUCCUUGGGGCUUCCCUGGUGGCGCAGUGGUUGAA
This is a long non-coding RNA of Aethalodelphis obliquidens (Pacific white-sided dolphin), 3371 nucleotides long. RefSeq lists it as uncharacterized. Lineage: Eukaryota; Metazoa; Chordata; Mammalia; Artiodactyla; Delphinidae. The record is from RefSeq and is a predicted model, not a curated record. The transcript has 3 exons.